Non-coding RNA from Chlorocebus sabaeus (green monkey), 1366 nucleotides. The record is from RefSeq and is a predicted model, not a curated record. Lineage: Eukaryota; Metazoa; Chordata; Mammalia; Primates; Cercopithecidae.
AUGAAUAAGGUCAUCACAUGCAUGAAGAUGAAAUCAGCACCUUCCCAAACUUCUCCACUGGAAGACUGUCUGGAAUAUCUCCUCCUGACCCUCUGGGGAUGCUGCCCACUCCACAGGGCCCCCUGCAGCUCUGUCUGAUUAUAAAGCUUCUCCCUAAUGGGCAAGAUCUCACACAUGAUAGAGCCAUAAAACGUGGCACUCCUGGCUGGCCCUGCUGCUUGUCUGAUAAGGGAGAUGGAGGGACUCGCCAGCACAGGCAGAGGACCCCGGGUCUCACCCUGCCCCCAUGCCUCCUCCCCACCCCAACUGGUCUCGGCUUCCAGCAUGUUGCCAAGGCCUGUUCUGCAGAACACAAAGCCCGUGCUUUGCAAUGGCGAGGACUCCAUGUUCAAGAAAGGGUGGGAAAUGCCCCCAAUCUCUCCCCUCCUAGGGAUUCAGAACACCCAUGAGCAGAGUCAUGGCUGUGAGGAGGCUUCCAGUAAAGAAAACCUGCUCGCAUUUCCCAGGGACACAUCGCUGAGGCUUGUCACGGUGGUGAGAGAGAACUGUGGUCUCCUAGGAGGCAUGGAGCAGCCUUCCCACACUCUUUGCGUGCACACAUCCUCGGGGGAUCUGGUCCAGGAGCAGGUUCUGACUCCCCAGGCCCGGGCAGGGACUCCAGACGCUGUGUCUCUCAGAAGCCCCCGGGGGACAGUGACGCUGCGGGUCCACAGGCCACAGGGAUCCAGAGUGGCUGCUGAUGAGAAGACAGAGUAUAAAGAGGUUAAACCAUGCCUAUGGUCACCCCUGUCUGGUGAAGCUGAGAUUUGAAGUGGCGUUUGGACCCCAGAGCUGAGCUGAUUAUCACCAUGUCGUUCAGCCUUCCAGAAUCCUGCAGACGGUCAAUAGGGUACCCUGCCCUCCUGUCCAUGCCUGGGCCUCCCAGGCCUAGCAGAGUGGUGGAGGACACUCAGGGACAGGCCAGGGCAUCCCUGUACGUGGCCGCUCCCUAGGUCACCCCCUCUCCCUGCUCUGGUUGGCUCCACACUUUUACAUGAAGCCCCGCUGCUCCCAGCUGGGGGAUGAUUCGACCAGGGGCUCCUGUUCCGUGUUUCACGCAGGAAGACUGCUGAGCAGGCGCUGGCUGUGGAAGAGGGGACAGUUGCCACCCUCUUCUAAAAUGGCCACUGCGGAUUGGAGGGGAAGAUUCCUGCACACCCAAGGAGAGGCUGAGGCUCCACGGAGAAGGAGGAAGCAGUGCUGCCUGAAUAGACCCCCACAGCAUGUCAGCUGCUGGGCAGACACCAGCAUCCCCAUCAUGGAGGGCCUGAAUAAACAGCCCUGUGUUACUCUGCUCUUUGCUGAGCAAAACAGGGCUCCAAACCCC